This 263-nucleotide ribosomal RNA is filed under the name uncultured bacterium. Its description in RNAcentral is "partial 16S ribosomal RNA". It matches the Rfam family "Bacterial small subunit ribosomal RNA", at positions 90 to 354 of the family's 1533-position model. The record is from RNAcentral.
UUCGAGUGGCGGACGGGUGAGUAACGCGUGGGUAACCUGCCUUACACAGGGGGAUAACACCUGGAAACAGGUGCUAAUACCGCAUAAGCGCACAGGGCCGCAUGGCCCGGUGUGAAAACUCCGGUGGUGUAAGAUGGACCCGCGUCUGAUUAGCUUGUUGGCGGGGUAGAGGCCCACCAAGGCGACGAUCAGUAGCCGGCCUGAGAGGGUGGACGGCCACAUUGGGACUGAGACACGGCCCAAACUCCUACGGAAGGCAGCAG